This 1146-nucleotide unclassified non-coding RNA is filed under the name Hevea brasiliensis (rubber tree). The record is from RNAcentral. Lineage: Eukaryota; Viridiplantae; Streptophyta; Magnoliopsida; Malpighiales; Euphorbiaceae.
GCAAAAUCAACAAUUUAUCUAUUAACCAUUUCUACCAAAAAUUUAUGGAAGCAGAUGAGUUGGUGAACGAAUAUGAACUAACAAAAGUUUACACCUAUCAGUAAAACAAUAACAAUAAUAUAGUACACAGAUAUGACCUACCAUCCAUUUUCUUGUCACUCUAGCUCGUUAAGUUUAACCUCAUAUUGUUCACCAGAUGAGAGAAUUUUUACACCAACCAUACCCUUUUGCCACUCUGUAUUUCCCACCAAUAUGAGCCUCUCUGCAUUUAUACGUGCUGCCCGUUUGAACACCCAUUUAAGAGGUUUGUUUUCCAAAACUAAAUCAACACUUUGUCCUUUAUCUCUGAGUAUGGUAGCAACUGUAGCAGCUGCUCCUUGAAGAUCACCAUCUAGAGCGCAAACGAUGUUCUCUACUUGGAGGCUGAGUUCUGGUAGGAUACCCUUCUCCUUCAGUAGUUCAACUAUGACAGCAUCACCAAAUCCGAAGCCACAAGCUGGAAUGUCAUCACCACCAAAAGUAGAGAGCAGGCGAUCAUAUCUCCCACCACCACAUAUGGCUCUCAGCUUUCUUGCCUAUUAAAACCCUCAAAAACAAUACCAGUGUAAUAGGCAAGGCCACGGACAACGGAUGCAUCAAACUGAAUCCACUCAGAAUAACCAAACUUUUCAGCAAGCGAGAAAAGUUGUUUAAGAUCAGCAACUGCUUCCCCUGCACCUCCAAGUAUUUCUUCCAACUUUGUCAAUGACUUUAUGGAAAGGACUCGCAGCAGGUCCUCAACAGCCUCCUCUGACAUCCCAACUGACUUCAAAUCCUUUUUAAUAUCAUCCAUAGGAAUCUUCUCGAUCUUGUCUAUUAUGAUGCAAACCUUGCCAAACAAAUUUUCAGAUAUGGAAUAGCACCUCAAUACUUCCUGCAGAACCUUUCGGCUAGAAACCUUGAAUCCAACAUCUGAUGCAGUGACUCCAAUCCGCUUGAAAAAUGUAACUAUAGAAGAAAUAAGCUCUGCUUCAGCUGUGACUUCAGGUACACCAAUAAUAUCCAUAUUCCAUUGGUAGUGCUCACGCCGACGACCCCUCGUCAUCCUUUCAUAUCGCCAGCACUGUCCAACAGCAAACCAUUUCAGUGGGAGGGGUACUGAUUUUC